GGAAAGGUGACUGAGUGGCUAAAAGUGAUGGUUUGCUAAACCUUUGUGUAUUAAUAAUAAUGCACCAUGGGUUCGAAUCCCAUUCUUUCUU
This 91-nucleotide transfer RNA is filed under the name Guinardia delicatula. Its description in RNAcentral is "tRNA-Ser". It matches the Rfam family "tRNA". Rfam says of the family: Transfer RNA (tRNA) molecules are approximately 80 nucleotides in length. Their secondary structure includes four short double-helical elements and three loops (D, anti-codon, and T loops). Lineage: Eukaryota; Bacillariophyta; Coscinodiscophyceae; Rhizosoleniales; Rhizosoleniaceae. The record is from RNAcentral.